Molecule: ribosomal RNA, 440 nt
Filed under: uncultured bacterium
Lineage: Bacteria
Description: partial 16S ribosomal RNA
Rfam family: Bacterial small subunit ribosomal RNA
Source: RNAcentral
CCUACGGGUGGCAGCAGUGGGGGAUAUUGCACAAUGGGGGAAACCCUGAUGCAGCGACGCCGCGUGGGUGAAGAAGCGCCUCGGCGCGUAAAGCCCUGUCAGCAGGGAAGAAAAUGACGGUACCUGAAGAAGAAGCCCCGGCUAACUACGUGCCAGCAGCCGUGGUAAUACGUAGGGGGCCAGCGUUAUCCGGAUUUACUGGGUGUAAAGGGGGCGGAGACGGCGAUGCAAGCCAGGAGUGAAAGCCCGGGGCCCAACCCCGGGACUGCUCUUGGAACUGCGUGGCUAGAGUGCAGGAGGGGCAGGCGGAAUUCCUGGUGUAGCGGUGAAAUGCGUAGAUAUCAGGAGGAACACCGGUGGCGAAGGCGGCCUGCUGGACUGCAACUGACGUUGAGGUCCGAAAGCGUGGGGAGCAAACAGGAUUAGAUACCCGAGUAGUC